Molecule: ribosomal RNA, 1030 nt
Filed under: uncultured bacterium
Lineage: Bacteria
Description: bacterial SSU rRNA
Rfam family: Bacterial small subunit ribosomal RNA
Source: RNAcentral
GGUUGUAAACUGCUUUUUGUACGGGAAGAACUACAUCUACGUGUAGAUGUUUGACGGUACCGUAAGAAUAAGGAUCGGCUAACUCCGUGCCAGCAGCCGCGGUAAUACGGAGGAUCCGAGCGUUAUCCGGAUUUAUUGGGUUUAAAGGGUGCGCAGGCGGGUAUAUAAGCCAGAGGUGAAAUUCCACGGCUCAACUGUGGGACUGCCUUUGAUACUGCAUAUCUAGAGUAUAUUUGGAGUGGGCGGAAUGUAGCAUGUAGCGGUGAAAUGCUUAGAUAUGCUACAGAACACCGAUCGUGAAGACAGCUCACUAAACUAUAACUGACGCUCAGGCACGAAAGCGUGGGGAGCAAACAGGAUUAGAUACCCUGGUAGUCCACGCCGUAAACGAUGAUUACUCGCUGUUGGCGAUACACAGUCAGCGGCUAAGCGAAAGUGAUAAGUAAUCCACCUGGGGAGUACGAUCGCAAGAUUGAAACUCAAAGGAAUUGACGGGGGCCCGCACAAGCGGAGGAGCAUGUGGUUUAAUUCGAUGAUACGCGAGGAACCUUACCUGGGCUCGAACGUAGUGUGACUAAGUGUGAAAGCAUUUAUUUCUUCGGAACAGACUACGAGGUGCUGCAUGGUUGUCGUCAGCUCGUGCCGUGAGGUGUUAGGUUAAGUCCUGCAACGAGCGCAACCCCUAUUCUUAGUUGCCAGCAUGUCAUGAUGGGGACUCUAAGGAAACUGCCUACGCAAGUAGUGAGGAAGGCGGGGAUGACGUCAAAUCAGCACGGCCCUUACGUCCAGGGCUACACACGUGCUACAAUGGCCGGUACAGAGGGCAGCUACAUAGCGAUAUGAUGCGAAUCUCGAAAGCCGGUCUCAGUUCGGAUUGGAGUCUGCAACUCGACUCCAUGAAGUUGGAUUCGCUAGUAAUCGCGCAUCAGCCAUGGCGCGGUGAAUACGUUCCCGGGCCUUGUACACACCGCCCGUCAAGCCAUGGAAGCUUGGGGUACCUGAAGUCCGUGACCCACAAGGAGCGGCCUAG